CUUGUACACACCGCCCGUCACACCAUGGGAGCGGGUUCUGCCAGAAGUAGUUAGCCUAACCGCAAGGUAGGGCGAUUACCACGGCAGGGUUCGUGACUGGGGUG
RNAcentral lists this ribosomal RNA (104 nucleotides) under uncultured bacterium. Its description in RNAcentral is "partial 16S ribosomal RNA". It matches the Rfam family "Bacterial small subunit ribosomal RNA", at positions 1380 to 1482 of the family's 1533-position model. The record is from RNAcentral.